Molecule: long non-coding RNA, 442 nt
Organism: Megalobrama amblycephala (Wuchang bream)
Lineage: Eukaryota; Metazoa; Chordata; Actinopteri; Cypriniformes; Xenocyprididae
Exons: 3
Source: RefSeq, a predicted model, not a curated record
GUAACCGUAAUAAAAUUGACUGUUAUUCCCCAUGAGGUGUAAAGUACUGUCAUUUCUUUAUUUGCAAUCUAACAGUUACUUUUGCAGCCUCAAAUGUGAAAUGCUUCAAAUAGCCCCUGGAGUUUGAUUGACAGGUGUUCAACCAAUCAUCACGCCGAAUCCGCCAUUUUGUCCGACAAAGCAGUCAAGGGAGUUUAGUAGAUUAACAUUGUCGGUGGACUUGAACUUGAAAAAUGUAGGAAGAGAUUAUCGGUUUACGAGCCGCUUGAAAUGAGGCACUACAGUGAUCUGUCAAGAGUCACGACACAUUAAAGAGCCACUAAACGUGUCCUCAUUGCUCAGCGAUGUGUUUUUCAUUGCGUGAGAACAUGACGUGUGGCUUGAGUCCUUGAGAGUGAGACACUGGAAAUCCGGAAACAUAGGCAGCUGACUUAGGCCUCGC